UGGAUGAAAUGCUUCUUCUCAGAUUAAGUUGUAAAAGAGUUUGGCUUCUGACUUGGAUGUGUUCCCUACCGCUCUCAUUCAUCUUCUCUUAAGGAAAGUCAGCUGCCAUAUUGUGAGCUACCCGAUAAAAAGGCAAGGGAAGGAGAAGGGCCUCCAGCUAACAGCCAGUGAAGGACUUAAGCCUUCAAACAGUCUGACAGGGACUGAAUGUUACCAAUAAAAUAGCAUUAAAUACUUAAGCUAUAGCAUUUUUCCCUGAGACUCUAUUACUCUUGAAGAAGGUACAGCCACUCCUGACCAAAAGAUUUCAUCCAGCCAACCAGAAUUGGAACUGAGAAAACCGGCAGCUCUGAUUCCCCCCAAAAAUGACAGAUUGCCAAAAGCCACAGAAAAAGGAACUUCCAGAAACGCCACAGCAUUGCUGUCACCCAAUUAUUCUGUAACGUCUGAUUUGUAGCCUAUCAACAGACUGCACUGCGUUCUUCCUAUGAUUCCCAUACAAUUUUCCAUCAGACAUCGUAAGGACCGUGUAAUACGUUCCUACUUCCGGUUUAUGGUAAAGCCACCCCAGGAAUUAGUCUUUAUGUCAACAGAUUUUCUAUUAUGCCUCCAGAAGACCUCAAAGCCACGAGGAGCAGAAUGUUUAAAGUUUACCUAUGCAACGCCAGUGAUGUGUCCCGUUACAUGUACCUUCGCUUUACCUUUUUCCUUACCAUUUGGAAAUGAAGAAAAUGAUUUUUACUUUUUGAAGUCAAGAUCGUUCAACCAUUCAAUUUUGUCAGGGUAAAAAAUCUUUAUUCUAGCCUUGCAAAUCCUUUCUCAGGGGUCUUCAAUUCCUUCUUAGUCUGCCCAGAACUGUGCUUUUAUCCAAUUCAUAGGCAGUCCGUAAGAGUGAUCACUUCUCUCCAACCCUUACGCACUGAAGGCUAAUUGUAAACAUAAACCCUUUCAGGGGCUCGAUGCCGUUGUA
Long non-coding RNA from Odocoileus virginianus texanus, 970 nucleotides. RefSeq lists it as uncharacterized. NCBI's taxonomy places the organism in Eukaryota, Metazoa, Chordata, Mammalia, Artiodactyla, Cervidae. The record is from RefSeq and is a predicted model, not a curated record.